RNAcentral lists this long non-coding RNA (2658 nucleotides) under Trifolium pratense (red clover). RNAcentral describes it as "long non-coding RNA (TPRA_LNC005399)". Lineage: Eukaryota; Viridiplantae; Streptophyta; Magnoliopsida; Fabales; Fabaceae. The record is from RNAcentral.
UUUAAUUUUCCUUAAAACUAUAUAGUCCAGCAUCAAAAUUAGGGACCAUGAGCGAUAAUAUGGAUUCAUUCUCUAUUUUUGGAGGAAGAGCUAGAUAUGUGAUGAUAAUGUUUCAUUCUCUUAUUUUCAUUUAAUAAUUUGAACAUAUAUAUAUAUAUAUAUAUAUAUAUAUAUAUAUAUAUAUANNNNNNNNNNNNNNNNNNNNNUUGGGCUUGAAGCGUGGAUAAUGCAUAGGCCCACCUACCAUAUGCUUAAAUUCCACUUUUUAAUUAGAAAGUGAGGGGAGCGGGGAUCGAACUCUAGACCACUUAGUCAUAGAGGCUCUGUCAGGCCGUCUCUCAACCGAUGUGGGACUCUUAACACACCCCCUCACGCCCAGCACUAUUGGGCUUGGUGCGUGGAUAUAAACGGUAGGUGGCCCGAUAGCGGAAACCUGAUAACAGGUGGCCCAAUGGAUCGUGGAGAAGCUCUGAUACCAUCUUAGAAUUGAGUAUUGGGCCUAACUCAUCCUUACAAAACCGGCUCGUAAGGUGAGGAUUGCCUCUAGUAUAUAAACACUUAGUCAGGCCGUCUCUCAACCGAUGUGGGACNNNNNNNNNNNNNNNNNNNNNNNNNNNNNNNNNNNNNNNNCACGCCCAGCACUAUUGGGCUUGGUGCGUGGAUAUAAACGGUAGGUGGCCCGAUAGCGGAAACCUGAUAACAGGUGGCCCAAUGGAUCGUGGAGAAGCUCUGAUACCAUCUCAGAUUUUAUAUUUGGCCUAACUCAUCCCUACAAAACCGGCUUGUAAGGUGAGGACUGCCACUUGCUUAUAAACACUACACAGGCCAUAUCUCUUAGCAAUGUGGGACUAAAUCCACCCCUUCACACCCAACACAAUGAAGGUGUUGGAGGCUGCAAUGAAGGCAACUCAAAUGCCGCAAUUAGGCAGAUGGGGGCGGGCCGCAAUGAAGGUGGAAUUUCCAACACACCCCCUCACGCUCGGGCCCAAUGUGCCUGAAGCGUGGACAAUGCGGGAAGCCCAACAAUAGAUCUAGGAUAGGCUCUGAUACCAUCUCAAAUAACCGAUUAUCCCAAAACCUUAAGGUGUUAGGAUAGAGCCAUAUCAAUGGUUUUAUAUUAUUUCUAACAAUAUAUAUAAAAUGAUUUAUUUUUCAAUUGUGAUUUUCACUUUUCAGGAUAUUGGGCAACCAAGGCCCGCCUUCUGUAUGGUAAGAUUCUCUUGCUUAAUUUCAAUUUUUUUUUGUGUUAUUCUACAAAAAUUUCGCGAUUUUGCCACGUAAAUCUUGAGUGUGGCCUAUCUAGACGUCGCAAAAUUAAGACACAGUUAAAUCAAACUUGUGCCACAGUUAUCUCUAUUUGAUAUUCAGCAGUUUUUAUUGUUUUUUAAUAAGAAUUUUUUUUUACUGAACAAAAAUACUGUGGCUAACAUUGUUGUUAGCGUCUUUAAAAACAGGAUUUUCGCUACGGUGUUAAUCGUGGCUAAUCUAAAAUAUAACUUUGCCACUUAGUAACCAUGGCAAACUUUAAUUUUAUUUUUUAAAAAAAUUAAAGUUCUGCAUUUCUUUUAUUGUUUUCUUUUUUAAAAUUUUAAUUUGCAACAAUUUAUAUUAACAAGCACCAAAAUAGUAAAUGAGUAUCAAAUACUUUGGUGAUAUGUUUAGUGUAAUUAAAGAUGGUUUUUUCUAAUCUACCCUCUCGGGGUAUAUACCCAUAAACCAAUGAGAACAAGCUAUAUGCAAGUCCACAUGUGCAAAUUCAAAAGUUUGUUACAAGUUUCUUGUGGGAACCACAUGUAAAUCUACUAUGUGGCUUGUUUUAUUGAUUGAUGGGUAUAUGCCCUCAAUUUAUGAAAGGAUAGAGUAGGCCUCACCAUUAAAGAUAUUUUGAAUUGCCAACAUAUGUUUCGGUGAUAUGUUUAGAGAAUUGCCAACCGAUUAUGUGUUUGCCUAAUCCCCGAAGAGUUUAGCAUUUUAUAUUCAUUUCCAGUCAAUUAACUGCAUAUAAUUAUUUACCAAAAUACAAAACUUCACUGUAAUUUUCUUUUUUUUUGCAGAUUAUGUUGGUGGAAUUUACGACGGUAUGAGUAUGACAGUCAUACUAUGACUUCCAUUUCAUCUAUACAUUGUUGUCAGAUAUACACUUGAUUGAAUUGAAAAAGGGAUCGAACUAUAAAAAGAUGUAGUCUAAGAACAAUGAAGCUACUCAUUUUUUAGUACUUAAGUGUGUCUCACAUGUACAUAUCAUUUAUUUAUAAUUUUUUUAAUAAUAGUAUAUAAUAAGUACUCAAUCCCUCCAACCCAAAAUCUCUUCAAAAGUUCUAAAUUGGUCCCACUAGUAGCACAUAUCAACUCAGAUGAAACUGUAUCAGAUACUGGCUGGCUCUACCAGUUAUGUGGAGGAAAUUCCAACCAAUCCUUUAUUGAAGUAUUCAGCUUAAUAAUUGCAAGUAAAUUAUACCUUACAUUUCUAUUGUUACGUUGUCUUAUAACCUAAUAAUAUAAUUCAGUGUAAUGUUUUAUUUGUAAAAUAUGAAAUAUGAAAUUGUUACUUUAGUUAUUGAAAUAUAAGUAUUGCAUCUGCACAAUAUGUAAAAACAAUACAUUUUAAAAGUUAAUUCAUCUUUAGAAUCAUAUGUUAUGGUGUUUUUUUAUGGAAAU